Molecule: RNA transcript, 3415 nt
Organism: Anolis carolinensis (green anole)
Lineage: Eukaryota; Metazoa; Chordata; Lepidosauria; Squamata; Anolidae
Exons: 3
Source: RefSeq, a predicted model, not a curated record
CGGGGCAGGAAGUGCAGCUCCUCCUGGUUUGGUCCCCGGAUGUGGGCGGGCAGCAGGAGGGGGCGGAGCUUGCCCUGUGGGCGGGGCCUGGCCCUUCCGGAAGGCCUACUCCCUCCCAGGCUAGGCAGCGGGCCGUCCAUGUCGGGCCAAGCCAGGAGAGGCUGGAGGCGGCCUUGCUUCUGCCUGACUCCGGCCUGCAGGCCCGGCCCGGCCCCGCCGCCGCCCUCGCGGUCCCCCAGGGCGGGGAAGAGCCUGGCUCGGAGGAGGCGGGGGGCGGGCCGGGCCUCUCGGGCCUGUUCUUUCUGGGCCCUCAGGGCCGCCCGCCUCGCCUCCGCCGCCGCCUCCCGGUGCUCGCUGAGGGCCCACAUAGGGCGCCUGCACUGUCCGCUUCUCUCAUCAGCCAUGGCUGGAUGUGACGACUUCCUCCGGAAAGGAGUGUGUCCCGGGCAGGAGGGGCGUCUUUGCAUUGCUGAGAGGUCAAGGGGUCUCGGGGCCGCCUCGCAAGGCACCUGGUCACUUUGGGGACGGAGGGACGGGUCUCCCUUUGGAGUCUGCUCUGUGUGCAUCCAGUGUCUGAAGCAGAAGGAAACGGGGGACCCAGUGUGAAGAGCCUUGGCCUGGUAUCGAUGAUGGGAGGAGGGAAGCCAAGCCGGGGGUCGGACCACCACACCGGGCAGCAGCGAGGGGUCACCGAGCGAGUCCCUUGGCGGAGAAGUGGAGCCUCAGUCCUUGCCGCUCUGGCCCGGAUCAGCCCCUCGCUUGCGGUCAGCACUCUUGAAGAAGCCCAGCUGCAGACGUGCGGAAAAGGACACAAAGGCAGAGGGGUCAGGGCUGCAUCCAGAGAGAGGCGGCUGGACAUUUAGACAUUGGAGACUCAACUAUGCCAAAUACUGGGGUCGGACUGGACUGUAUCUUCCCAGGAUCCAUCUUCCACCCGAGAGCAGUGUUCCUAGUUGUGUGUGUCAUCAGACAGACAGACAGAGGCAGAUGCAAGGACCGAGGGCACCCUACCUUCCAGAGCGCCAGCACCAACAGCCCCAGCAGCAAGAGGCCACCCAAGGUGCUCCCGAUGAUGAUCCAGGUGGGCACCUGGGAGUCCUCCACCUUGGAGAUUUCAAACAUGAUCUGCAAGAGCGGUAGACAAGGCAGACGUGAGUUACGACCAAGGAAUAUUGAAAGAAAGGGAUGAGGGAAGACCAAGAAGAAGAAGAAGAAAUGGAAGCAGCAACAGCGUCUGGUUUGUCUUAAGCUGAUCUGACUAUGUUCAGACUUACAAGGAGCACUGCUUGAAUAUCAAGCAAAUAGUGGGUGCUAGAAAUAAUACCAUACGAAAGCAGACUGGCACCACCUGGGACCGCAUCCAGACCCAGUGAAGACCAAUCUCUGCCCUUGCGCGUUGCUUCUCUGCUGCUGAGUGCGCAUGCCCAGUGUGGAAUGCAUCUCACCACGCUAAAACCUUGGAUGUGGCUGGUUGCAUUCAGAAAGAGCUUGAACACCUGGCUCUUCACUCAGGCCUAUGGAUAAAGAUUGCUCAUCCCCAUAACAGUCCUGUAUCCGUGACCAUUUUUGUACCGGUUUGCACUUUUUUGCUUUUGUCAGCUUGAUAUAGACACAGCAGGGUCUACUCCCAUCCCAAUUUGCACUUCCAAGAAUUUGCAGCACUUUCUCAGUCACCUCGUGUUUACCAUAUUUAUAUGGUGCACAUUACCCAGUCUACUUUUACAACCUCUCCGUUUUAAUCCAUGUUUUUAUUAGUUUUUGCCAUUUAUUUUUAUCGGGUAAUGUUUAAAUUUUUAUAAUUGUGCAUGUCUCUUGUCUAUUGUUGUGUUUUAUAUUGCUAUUGUUUUUAUUCGGGCUUGGCCCCAUGUAAGCCGCCCUGAGUCCCCUUUGGGGAGAUAGAGGCGGGGUAUAAAAAUAAGGUUAUUGUUGUUAUUAUUAUUAUUAUUAUUAUUAUUAUUACACAGCAAACAAGAUAGACAUGCUGGAUUUCGUAUCACAAAAUCACAAGUUGAACACUUCCGAAGUGUCUAGGACUGUGUGAUGUAUUUUCGGAUGAUGCGUGCAGAUCCCAGUAGGGUGACCUUUUGCAGUUGGCAGAUCGUAAUUUUGUCAAUGUCUAUUGUUUCCAAAUGCCGGCUGAGAUCUUUUGGCAUGGCACCCAAUGUGCCCAUCACCACCGGGACCACCUGCACUGGUUUUUGCCAGAUAGAUGGGCAGAGUGAGUUGAUCUGACUGCCUUGCUAUUCUGUAUUUCCUUCUUUAUUCCAUUGGAAAGGACUUCUGCUGAAUGCCGGGAGAGGGCACCAGUCUCCCACUUUCUCUGCUUAAGGAAACUUGGAGGCAAAAAGUGUGCCGUAAUGCGUGGUGCAUUACUCUGUUGCCUGCAAGAUACGAAUUAAAGACAGAGCCCUUUUCUCCCACAUCACAUACACACCUUUUCCAUGACAGACCAAUUCCUCAUUCAUACCUAAUCACACUACGCAACACGAGUUUUGCUCCUGGGCUAGAAAUGUCAUUGCCUAAUUGGUUCCAUUAUAAAAACAUGGCAAAAGUUUAUACAACUGCCAAAACUUUGCAUUUGCAGGACAUCCUGCUUUGCCAAAUUUUGCCAUCGUUUUUCAAUGAACAUCUCAUUCAAGUCUCAACCAAUUCAACCUAGUUCGCGACAGCCACAAAAACAAAAUUUCUUGAGUAGAACAAUUCCUUUCCAAGUAAGGACUGCACAAUUAAACUGGAAUAACACUUUCGAACCAGGAACAGAAUAUUUUCCAAAUUUUGUUACACACUGUAAUUAAUAAUAAUAAUAAUAAUAACAACAACAAUAAUAAAAAGGCCACCCUACUGGGAUCUGCACGCAUCAUCCGAAAAUACAUCACACAGUCCUAGACGCUUGGGAAGUGUUCGACUUGUGAGUUUGUGAUACGAAAUCCAGCAUAUCUAUCUUGUUUGCUGUGGUAUACAAUGUCGUUGUGUCAAUAAUAAUAAUAAUAAUAAUAAUUUAUUUCUAACAUACAUAUAAACGGCAAACAUUCAAUGUCACAACUACUGCACUUAAUAUCAAAAGUAUAAAAUGAGGAUAACAUAUUCAUAAUAAUAAAAAAUUCCAAAUUAGAAAAAAUAAAUACAUUUAAACACGAUACUCAAUAAAAACAUUAUUGCACAGAGCAAGCGUAUACCUGGACUGAAUUAAAUGACCAAGUUGCAGAAAAUGUUCCGUAUUUGUUGAAGUUUCCCUUAGACCAAUGAUGGGCAACCUUUUGUGCUUGGUAUGUCAAAAUUCACCCUAGCAUGACUUGGGUGGUGUGUCACUUUGAGAAAAAAACCCGUAAUUUUGCAAUAUGUAUAGUUUAAAUAACAAAAAUAUAUAAUUGUAAUAUAUAACUGUAUUUAAUAAAUCAAAAACUAUUUACUACCA